RNAcentral lists this unclassified non-coding RNA (221 nucleotides) under Hevea brasiliensis (rubber tree). Lineage: Eukaryota; Viridiplantae; Streptophyta; Magnoliopsida; Malpighiales; Euphorbiaceae. The record is from RNAcentral.
GCACUUGAUGGAUUUCUUGUGAGGAUUUCUGAUUAUCAAUUAAACAUCUCACCAAUCUUGGGCAAUAAAAGACUUGGGAUUGAUCUGACUCCAGAAGAGGUGCUGCCUUCCUAUCUAUGGAUGUUCCUCAAUGGCAGUAGAAUGAAAGACUGGCCCAAGAAAAAUAAAAAUCCUUACUUCUUUGCUAAUUUAUAGAUGGAUAGAAACAUACUAAUUUCUUU